RNAcentral lists this ribosomal RNA (368 nucleotides) under uncultured organism. Its description in RNAcentral is "bacterial SSU rRNA". It matches the Rfam family "Bacterial small subunit ribosomal RNA", at positions 526 to 896 of the family's 1533-position model. The record is from RNAcentral.
CGGAGGAUCCGAGCGUUAUCCGGAUUUAUUGGGUUUAAAGGGUGCGUAGGCGGCCUGUUAAGUCAGGGGUGAAAGACGGUAGCUCAACUAUCGCAGUGCCCUUGAUACUGAUGGGCUUGAAUGUACUAGAGGUAGGCGGAAUGUGACAAGUAGCGGUGAAAUGCAUAGAUAUGUCACAGAACACCAAUUGCGAAGGCAGCUUACUAUGGUAUUAUUGACGCUGAGGCACGAAAGCGUGGGGAUCAAACAGGAUUAGAUACCCUGUUAGUCCACGCCCUAAACGAUGAAUACUCGAUGUUAGCGAUAUACAGUUAGCGUCAAAGCGAAAGCGUUAAGUAUUCCACCUGGGGAGUACGCCCGCAAGGGUG